GUGACCAAUGACUUUGUCAUGCUGAAAGGCUGUGUGGUGGGAACCAAGAAGCGGGUGCUCACCCUCCGCAAGGUGAGGCAGGUCCUGCCUCGUCAUGGGGGGGCUCUUGUAGAGGGAGGGUCCAAGGCCACAGACGCUGGUGGCUCUGUGAUGGGAGAGGAAAGGAAGGAGAGGGUGUUGGCAGUCCUUUCACACUGGCUUUGAAGUCCUGAGAUGAGGAAAUUCCCAGUCUGGCCUUGCUGGGCUGUUUGCUGCUUUGAGUGUGUCCUCAUCUGCCGGACGGUGGGGGAGGCUGAAUUGAUCGUGUGGCUUCCCAGAUGCAGGGGCGCAGUGAACAGUGCUGAGGAAAGCCUGGCUCCUCGUAAUCCUAAAUGCCUUCCCCUCUUGGCCCACAGUCCUUGCUGGUGCAGACGAAGCGGCGGGCUCUGGAGAAGAUUGACCUUAAGUUCAUUGACACCACCUCCAAGUUUGGCCAUGGCCGCUUCCAGACCAUGGAGGAGAAGAAAGCAUUCAUGGGACCACUCAAGAAAGACCGAAUUGCAAAGGAAGAAGGAGCUUAAUGCCAGGAACAGAUUUUGCAGUUGGUGGGGUCUCAAUAAAAGUUAUUUUCCACUGA
Molecule: small RNA, 616 nt
Filed under: Pongo abelii (Sumatran orangutan)
Lineage: Eukaryota; Metazoa; Chordata; Mammalia; Primates; Hominidae
Description: retained intron
Source: RNAcentral